GUUGAUGGAAGCACAACCUUCCAGUCUGCCACAGUUGCUGUAGUGGGUCAAGGAUUCUUAGCGAGGGGUGUCACCUUCGAAAACACGGCUGGUCCCUCAAAGCACCAAGCAGUGGCACUAAGGGCUGGGGCUGAUCUUGCAGCUUUCUACGAAUGUGAUAUGCUAGCUUACCAAGACACCCUCUAUGUCCACUCCAAUCGUCAAUUUUUCAUAAACUGCUUAAUUGCAGGAACGGUUGAUUUUAUUUUUGGCAAUUCAGCAGCCGUUUUCCAGGACUGCGACAUCCAUGCUCGUAAACCCAAUUCAGGCCAGAAAAAUAUGGUCACAGCCCAAGGCAGGACUGACCCUAAUCAGAACACCGGCAUUGUAAUUCAAAAGAGUAGAAUUGGUUCCACUUCAGAUCUGAGACCUGUCCAGAGCAGCUUCCCAACUUAUCUUGGAAGGCCCUGGAAGGAGUAUUCAAGAACUGUUAUAAUGCAAUCAGAUAUCAGUGACGUGAUACACCCUGCUGGAUGGCACGAGUGGAAUGGGGAUUUUGCACUGAGCACAUUGUUUUAUGGAGAGUAUCAAAACACUG
RNAcentral lists this unclassified non-coding RNA (577 nucleotides) under Hevea brasiliensis (rubber tree). Lineage: Eukaryota; Viridiplantae; Streptophyta; Magnoliopsida; Malpighiales; Euphorbiaceae. The record is from RNAcentral.